RNAcentral lists this ribosomal RNA (500 nucleotides) under uncultured bacterium. Its description in RNAcentral is "partial 16S ribosomal RNA". It matches the Rfam family "Bacterial small subunit ribosomal RNA", at positions 30 to 523 of the family's 1533-position model. The record is from RNAcentral.
AUUGAACGCUGGCGGCAUGCCUUACACAUGCAAGUCGAACGGCAGCACGGGAGCAAUCCUGGUGGCGAGUGGCGAACGGGUGAGUAAAGUAUCGGAACGUGCCCAGUCGUGGGGGAUAACGUAGCGAAAGUUACGCUAAUACCGCAUACGAUCUAUGGAUGAAAGCGGGGGAUCGCAAGACCUCGCGCGAUUGGAGCGGCCGAUAUCAGAUUAGGUAGUUGGUGGGGUAAAGGCUCACCAAGCCGACGAUCUGUAGCUAGUCUGAGAGGACGACCAGCCACACUGGGACUGAGACACGGCCCAGACUCCUACGGGAGGCAGCAGUGGGGAAUUUUGGACAAUGGGCGAAAGCCUGAUCCAGCCAUGCCGCGUGCAGGAUGAAGGCCUUCGGGCUGUAAACUGCUUUUGUACGGAACGAAAAGGUUUGGCCUAAUAAGCUGAGCUCAUGACGGUACCGUAAGAAUAAGCACCGGCUAACUACGUGCCAGCAGCCGCAGUAA